Molecule: ribosomal RNA, 543 nt
Filed under: Triticum aestivum (bread wheat)
Lineage: Eukaryota; Viridiplantae; Streptophyta; Magnoliopsida; Poales; Poaceae
Description: partial small subunit ribosomal RNA
Source: RNAcentral
AUGGCGAUCCAAGCUGUGACCUUGAACUUCGUUCGUGGAGCUGGGAAAACGGGGAGCUCGCGUAAACUGAAUGAGUGGCCGGUUGUUCUUGCUAAUCAGCAGGUUCUAAAUGUGGAUGCUGCUUUUUAUCUAGGCGAACACUCAGGAGGAUGUGGGGCCAUUGUACGUGAUAACCGCGGUAACUUCAUUGGUGCAGCCACGGCAAAACUAACUCACGUAGCUGAUGUGGUUUGUGCAGAGGCGGCGGCACUGAGAGAAGGCCUCAAAUUCCUCCAGAAUUUGGGAUGCAACAAUGUGAUAGUAAGGAUGGACAAUAUCAUUGUCAUAGAUGCCAUGAAGGCGGCGCCUAUUCUGGAGGAGUGCUUGUCCCUUUUGCAAGAUUUUGGGAAGGUUUCCAUUGAGCAUUGUAAUCGUGAGUCAAAUGUAGUUGCUCAUGAGCUAGCUAGGUGGGGAAGCGUUAACAAUCCGUCUGUGUGGGUUGAUGCACCACCAAAUUUUAUUGUAAAUUCCCUUGUGGACGAUAUAGCAGUGAUUGAUAAAUAA